Molecule: long non-coding RNA, 1091 nt
Filed under: Oryzias sinensis (Chinese medaka)
Lineage: Eukaryota; Metazoa; Chordata; Actinopteri; Beloniformes; Adrianichthyidae
Description: lncRNA (ENSOSIG00000008396.1)
Source: RNAcentral
CUAAGAUUCUGACUGGAAUAGUAGAUACUUCCUCGUAAACAGAUUGAGGAAGCUGUCAUAUCCACAUUUGCUUGGAGACAGGUUCAUUCAUAGGAAAAUAGGAGGAGGACACAAGACUAUGUAUCUCUGUGUCAGACAUAGAAUGUCGACAUUACAAAGACCGUUAGCACCUCUUGGUGAAUCACUGCAAAAUCCCACUCCUGAAAGGGUUGCAGUUGGAGCUCGGCAAUUGUGGCGCCAGCGUGUGAUUGUGGCAAGACAGCCUGACCGCUCAAAAAUGGCUGAGCUAACAAGGACAGGAGAGCAAGCGAGGUUUGCAGCUUUUGCAAGUGUUGACAAAGAAGAAGCGGCGAACGCAAAAGGGCGGGGAGAGAGUGGAAUGUGGAGUGGACAAUCCAAUUCUUUCUGUUGUUUGGUCAGCCCUUGAGGUCACCACAACAAUAAAUGGAUAUUUUGAAGAGGACCAAAUAAGAGGAAAUGCUUUUGGAAUGCGGUUAUCCAAGUUUCAACUUGGAAACCUUCAAGGACUCUCUGCCAAGUCUCAGGAAAACAACGCAUGCUGACAAAUUGGUUGAAUCGUGAUCAAAGCACCUGCCACACUGAGAACCUGAAACAGGCACCAUUUGGCAGUUCACAAGGUCACUUGUUUUGUAUGAGGAAAGAAGAUGUGCCAAAAUAUGCUUUCAAUCAUAUGCAUGUAGAUAAUAGCAUCUUUUUUUUUAAGUUAGCAAUGUGAAUGAUGCAUGAGAAUACGUUUUUAACAGUUCCAAACCUUUCCUAUUUUUCUUUCUUCUUUUUAAGCACCACUUGGCGUUCAUUAUGAUCUUUCUGGAUCUGGAGCUGUGUUUCAUUAAAUACCUGUUUUCUGUUACCUACUUUUUAAAAUUAGUGUCCUGCUGAGUUCAGUGCUUGUUGUGUGUUUUCUCUGUUUGUAAUGGCACACAAACAUGUAAACAUGAAAUAAAACACUUUGACCAAAUUCCAUUUAACUGCUUAUUAUUUUAUUCAUUAAUUAUUUUUUUUAUUUUUUUUGUUUUUUCCCAUUUGCAUGUUCUGUAGACGUUGUAAGAAAUUGAGAAGUGGUAAGGCAA